GGGCCCGCACAAGCGGUGGAGCAUGUGGUUUAAUUCGAUGAUACGCGAGGAACCUUACCAGGGCUUAAAUGCAGAACGACCGGGGUGGAAACACCCCUUUCUUCGGACGGUCUGCAAGGUGCUGCAUGGUUGUCGUCAGCUCGUGCUGUGAAGUGUCGGGUUAAGUCCCAUAACGAGCGCAACCCCUAUUUCUAGUUGCCAGCGGUUCGGCCGGGGACUCUAGAGAAACUGCCAGCGUAAGCUGUGAGGAAGGUGGGGAUGACGUCAAAUCAUCACGGCCCUUACGUCCUGGGCCACACACGUGCUACAAUGGUGGGGACAACGAGUCGCUAGUAAUCGCGCAUCAGCCAUGGCGCGGUGAAUACGUUCCCGGGCCUUGUACACACCGCCCGUCAAGCCAUGGAAGCUGGGGGUACCUGAAG
This 422-nucleotide ribosomal RNA is filed under the name uncultured bacterium. Its description in RNAcentral is "bacterial SSU rRNA". It matches the Rfam family "Bacterial small subunit ribosomal RNA", at positions 917 to 1426 of the family's 1533-position model. The record is from RNAcentral.